RNAcentral lists this unclassified non-coding RNA (224 nucleotides) under Hevea brasiliensis (rubber tree). The record is from RNAcentral. Lineage: Eukaryota; Viridiplantae; Streptophyta; Magnoliopsida; Malpighiales; Euphorbiaceae.
GCAACUAAACACAUUCUCUAAUAGGUUCUCUAGCUGUUUGGCUAACAAAUGGGUGCUGAGCAGAAAGAUGUUGCAAAGGGUGAUGCAGAGAAGAAACCUGCUGCCGAUGCUGGCGCCGCCGGUGAUAAGAAAGAUGACGCCAAGGUCAUCUCCGUUUAUAAGAUAGACAUGCAUUGCGAGGGCUGUGCCAAGAAAAUUAGACACGCAGUUAGACGGUUAGAAGG